This 253-nucleotide ribosomal RNA is filed under the name uncultured bacterium. RNAcentral's name for it is "partial 16S ribosomal RNA". It matches the Rfam family "Bacterial small subunit ribosomal RNA", at positions 524 to 776 of the family's 1533-position model. The record is from RNAcentral.
UACAGAGGUCUCAAGCGUUGUUCGGAUUCAUUGGGCGUAAAGGGUGCGUAGGUGGUGAGGUAAGUCGGAUGUGAAAGCUCGGAGCUCAACUCCGAAAUGGCAUUGGAAACUACCUUGCUCGAGGGUUGGAGGGGGGACUGGAAUGCUUGGUGUAGCAGUGAAAUGCGUAGAUAUCAAGCGGAACACCAGUGGCGAAGGCGAGUCCCUGGACAACUCCUGACACUGAGGCACGAAAGCUAGGGGAGCAAACAGG